UACGAAGGGGGCUAGCGUUGCUCGGAAUUACUGGGCGUAAAGGGAGCGUAGGCGGAUAGUUCAGUCGGAGGUGAAAGCCCAGGGCUCAACCUUGGAACUGCCUUUGAUACUGGCUAUCUUGAGUUUGGGAGAGGUGUGUGGAACUCCGAGUGUAGAGGUGAAAUUCGUAGAUAUUCGGAAGAACACCAGUGGCGAAGGCGACACACUGGCCCAAUACUGACGCUGAGGCUCGAAAGCGUGGGGAGCAAACAGG
Molecule: ribosomal RNA, 253 nt
Filed under: uncultured bacterium
Lineage: Bacteria
Description: partial 16S ribosomal RNA
Rfam family: Bacterial small subunit ribosomal RNA
Source: RNAcentral